RNAcentral lists this ribosomal RNA (133 nucleotides) under uncultured bacterium. RNAcentral's name for it is "partial 16S ribosomal RNA". It matches the Rfam family "Bacterial small subunit ribosomal RNA", at positions 355 to 479 of the family's 1533-position model. The record is from RNAcentral.
UGGGGAAUUUUGCGCAAUGGACGAAAGUCUGACGCAGCAACGCCGCGUGAGGGAUGAAGGCCUUUGGGUCGUAAACCUCUGUCAGAAGGGAAGAAACCUUUGUUGGCUAAUACCCAACAGAACUGACGGUACC